This 30-nucleotide non-coding RNA is filed under the name Rattus norvegicus (Norway rat). The record is from RNAcentral. Lineage: Eukaryota; Metazoa; Chordata; Mammalia; Rodentia; Muridae.
UUGGCAGAAGCACCUGAACCUGAUGUCUAC